Molecule: RNA transcript, 4316 nt
Organism: Canis lupus familiaris (dog)
Lineage: Eukaryota; Metazoa; Chordata; Mammalia; Carnivora; Canidae
Gene: ASB1
Gene name: ankyrin repeat and SOCS box containing 1
Exons: 6
Source: RefSeq, a predicted model, not a curated record
GGGCGCCCAUGGCGGAGGGCGGCGGCCCCCACGGGCGGGCCGGGCCGGGGCCCGCAGGUCCUAAUCUGAAGGAAUGGCUCAGGGAGCAGUUUUGUGACCAUCCGCUGGAGCACUGUGAAGACACGAGGCUCCAUGAUGCAGCCUACGUGGGGGACCUCCAGACCCUCCGGAGCCUGCUGCAAGAGGAGAGCUACCGGAGCCGCAUUAACGAGAAGUCCGUCUGGUGCUGCGGCUGGCUCCCCUGCACACCGCUGAGAAUCGCGGCCACUGCGGGCCACGGGAACUGUGUGGACUUCCUCAUCCGGAAAGGGGCCGAGGUGGAUCUCGUGGAUGUGAAAGGACAGACUGCCUUGUACGUGGCUGUGGUGAAUGGGCACCUGGAGAGCGCCCAGAUCCUGCUGGAAGCUGGCGCUGACCCCAAUGGAAGCCGGCACCACCGCAGCACCCCCGUCUACCAUGCCUCGCGUGUGGGCAGGGCCGACAUCCUGAAGGCGCUCAUCAGGUAUGGGGCUGACGUCGAUGUCAACCACCACCUGACUCCUGACAUCCGGCCCCCCUUCUCCCGGCGCCUCACCUCCUUGGUGGUCUGCCCCUUGUAUAUCAGCGCAGCCUACCACAACCUCCAGUGCUUCCAGCUGCUUCUCCAGGCUGGGGCGAACCCCGACUUCAACUGCAAUGGUCCUGUCAACACGCAGGGCUUCUACAGGGGCUCCCCCGGGUGUGUCAUGGAUGCCGUCCUGCGUCACGGCUGUGAGGCAGCCUUCGUGAGCCUGCUCGUAGAGUUUGGAGCCAACCUGAACCUGGUGAAGUGGGAAUCCUUGGGCCCUGAGUCAAGAGGCAGAAGGAAGGUGGACCCCGAGGCCUUGCAAGUCUUUAAAGAGGCCAGAAGUGUCCCCAGGACCUUGCUGAGUCUGUGCCGUGUGGCCGUGAGAAGAGUUCUUGGCAAAUACCGGCUUCAUCUGAUUCCCUCGCUGCCUCUGCCAGACCCCAUAAAAAAGUUUCUGCUUUAUGAGUAGAAUUCCGGUGCAGCAGUUGAUUGCAGUGAGAAGAAGGUGAUCUGCCGUGAAAGUUGACGCCGAUUCUUGCCCCCGUGAACCACAUCCUGUGCUGCUGAUGGAAUCCCACUUGGCUCCUGAGGACAGGUCUGCUGCUUUGUUCAACCAGACUCUGCUGAUUCUUUCGGAAUCUGGACAGCUUUGAGGCUCACCCUCUAGUCUGAAACUUCAUAGCCGCCAAACAUGAAUCUGGAAACAGUGUACAUCGUUGCUUAAGGCCAUUCCUACUUGUUGUGAGUAACUUUCCUAAAGCUCCCUUUCUUUCUGUUGGCAAGGAUAGGGUAAUCAUGUUUCUGAGGUGUGGGGCACCCAGGUCCCACGUAGCAAGGAAACGUGGUGGUGGUGGUGUGAUGAGGCUGCUGCCUGGCAGGCCCCAGAGCCCCGCAAUGAGGGGCACGACAGACCCGUGGGAACGAGCCAGAGUGUCCCCCUCAGCCUGGUCCCAGGAGUGUCCCGUCUCUCCCCUCAAACAGAGUCCUGCUGUAGGCCUUGGCUGCUGUGGACAGGUGGGCAGGGAUACCUCUGAGAAUUCUGCUCUGGCAUCUUGGGUGUGGAUUUUGAGUGUAUUUCCCAAAGCCAUCAAUGUCACACAUAGCUGUGCCUUUUCCUAUUACUUAUGUUAUUUAUGUAUUUAUUUAUUUAUGUCCUGCCUUGUUCUAGAAAAGGGUUGAAGGCAGUGAUGCUUGUUUUUUUUUGUUUUUUGUUUUUUUGUUUUUUGAUGCUUGGUUUUUGAUGUUCUGUUUUGACAUUUGGGAAGUUUCCACAUGCACCCAUUAGGUGAUUUUAAAAAGAGGACAAUUAGCAGUUUUCUAAUGUUGACUAUAUUUCUGUUCUCAGGCUUAAGUGCCAUCCUUUUUUCUUUUUACCUUCUUUCUUGCAUUGAUUUUUUUGAAUAAAGGGUUCAUGUAGAAGUAGGAGGAGAGGAACAUGCAGCAAGCAUAGGUGUGAGCAAAGGAAAAUCAACCUUAGAGGGAAAUGCUUUGCCCAUGGUUGUCUGCAUGCUGCUGCACGGCCCAGGCAGGCCCCAGGCAGUGUGGAGGCUGCACUCUCACACCUGUACAUGCCCACAGGACUUUUGGGAGGACACACGGGAGAACGUGUGUGAGAGCACUUUGUACUGAGCAUUCCCUGUGACUGUAAACUGCCCUCGUGACUCCUGUCCCUUUCUCAGUGGAUAUGCAUUUGAGGGGAUGGAGGUGCUGGAAGGGCCUGUGACCUUGGGGAUCGGGCUUGACCUUGUGCCCCCCCCCCCCCCCCCCACCAGGCAGCGAUGCUCAUGGGGGCCCAUAGCAUAGGCCUUUGGCACAGAGGGCUCUGUGCAUGUCAGUAAGUACAAGGGCACAUGUUAAAUAACUUAUGAGGUCAAGUUUAUUCAACCUAGAGGUUUGUAUUUUAUUUUGAGAUAAUGUCCUUCCUAACUUGGGUGAUAAAAUGUACUUUUAUGUAACAAAGGUGAUAAUAUAUAUAUAUACACACACAUAAUUUUUUUUUUUUUUUUUUUAAUGCUCUUGGCUGUAAGAUGAAGAUAAAAUACUGGCUGCUCUUUGUCAAGCCCCAGAGUUUCUUCUUAAGUUUGCCAGUCUCUGAAGUCCCAGAGCCAGGGAACCACAGUCCAGCUAUGGUGUAUGUUUACAUGAUGAUGAGAAAUUCCUCUUGGAUUCUUAAAACAGCCUGUUUAUGUUGUUGAAGGCUCUCACAGCAUUUCUGCUGCCUGGUAGUCUAAGAGUAAGCUCUGAGGUCACCACAUGUGGAGUUGGAGGGUCAUGCUUAUGUCCUGGCGGUGGCAGAACCGCCCUCUGGGGUAGGCAUCAAGCCAUUCCUGCGUCCAUGAGAAACACUGUCUGGGAGUACUGCGUGGCCUUCUCAGUGGGGCCCGCCCUUACCUCGGGCCUCGGGGCCUGUGGCACCCCUGAGCGCCUGGGGCACGUUGCAUGUUGGUGAUGGCGCUAAUAGCAGGCCUUCUGGGGCUGAGGCUUCAGGCUUCCGCCCUGCCCCUUUGGCCGCCUGCCUAGGCGCAUGGUGACCAGUCCUCAGUGGUCUGGACUCCCCACCAACUCCUAUCUACUUGCUGAAAGUGCCUCAUGUGGCCAUGUGACCUUUCUCCCUGACUUACUUUUAUCUCCUUCCCACCCCCCUACAGCCUGACCCCUCGGUGUGGAAUAAAAUAACUGGUGUGCACUCUUAGUGGUUAGUGGGCUUGUCUCAGGAGAGUUCCACGGGAGGGCCACGCAGAACUUGGAGUGUAGUGAUGUACAGAAAUACACUUUAUAAUCCUAGGCAGACAAGCCGACGGAGCAGUGAGGCGGGGAGCAGGGGUCACUUCUGUUGCCUUAACAUGUAAUCACCCAGUGUCUGGAAUACAUGGGCAGCCUUUUUUUUUGUUGUUGUUUUGAUUUCAGAUCUCCACCAAGUAAUGUACGAAUGUGUGUAAAUGCAGCUUGAGUGUGGUGUUUGUGAACACAGCUUCUUGUACCUCUGAAGUCACAGCUUCCUGCUGUGCUCUAGCCCCAGCGUGCCCGCUCAGCUCUGCAGUGUUGGCACAGUGCUUGGUUGGUGGUGGGCAUGAGAGUGUGACCCGCAGGGGCCUGUGUGCGUGGAGACAUGCUGCAGGGAGUGUUCGCCAUAGUCCCUGCGUGUCCCUUCCACUCCGGUAACGAAUGUGUGUUUGCCCUCUGCUGCUGGGACGGCGACUGUUCUUGCACUUGUGCCUGGUGAAGAGUUUUCACAAGUAUGACGGACAUCUUUGAUAAUGUUAUUGUAACUUUAAUAAACGCUUUAUUACCCUUUAACUCAACUCCCAUCCCCAAUGCCUUACUUUUUCGGACUGUUUAUCUCAACGGGUAGAAAUUGGUCUUGUGAAAUCUUUGAAUACACAUUUCAGCCACGUGAUGGGCUCCUUGGAAAGUUUGUAAUGAUACGGAGAGAGGAACUUUUUUGAACUGCUCUGAGGGAUCUUGGUAUUCUAGGGAGGCACCCAGAAUGUGGCACAGAUUUAAACUUCCGGCCAAGCCUGUUUUACUUAGUGGGGUUUCCAGUUUGAAGAGAACGUGCCCUUAAAGUGUUUGAAACCCACGGCUUUCAAGCAGAGCGAACUGUCCCUGUGGGGCUCUGCAGGGGGAGGCGGUGGAGAGCUGUGGGCACCAUUGUUUCUGGGCCUCUGUUACAUGUGGCUUACUUUGACAGCGGGAGGGUGAGGUAUGAAGCUUUGGGAUGAACCCAGCAGGGAAGGAACUAAAUAAAAACAUGUAUGCAUAUCUCAGA